Molecule: ribosomal RNA, 253 nt
Filed under: uncultured bacterium
Lineage: Bacteria
Description: partial 16S ribosomal RNA
Rfam family: Bacterial small subunit ribosomal RNA
Source: RNAcentral
UACGUAGGGCGCAAGCGUUGUCCGGAAUUAUUGGGCGUAAAGAGCUCGUAGGCGGUUUGUCGCGUCGGGUGUGAAAGCCCGGGGCUUAACCCCGGGUCUGCAUUCGAUACGGGCAGACUAGAGUGUGGUAGGGGAGAUCGGAAUUCCUGGUGUAGCGGUGAAAUGCGCAGAUAUCAGGAGGAACACCGGUGGCGAAGGCGGGUCUCUGGGCAGUAACUGACGCUGAGGAGCGAAAGCGUGGGGAGCGAACAGG